GAUGAACGCUGACAGAAUGCUUAACACAUGCAAGUCGAUGGGGAAGUGGUGCUUGCACCAUGGUAACCAUGGCGGACGGGUGAGUGACGCGUAAGGAACUUGCCUGCGGGACUGGGAUAACAGCAGGAAACUGCUGAUAAUACCGGAUAAGGUCAUUAAGCUGCAUAGCUUAGUGAUGAAAGGAGACGCCUGCGGAGAGCCUUGCGUCCUAUUAGCUAGUUGGAGGGGUAACGGCCCACCAAGGCGAAGAUAGGUAGCCGGCCUGAGAGGGUGGACGGCCACAAGGGGACUGAGAUACGGCCCUUACUCCUACGGGAGGCAGCAGUGGGGAAUAUUGGACAAUGGGGGCAACCCUGAUCCAGCAAUUCUGUGUGCACGAAGACGGUUUUCGGAUUGUAAAGUGCUUUCAGCAGGGAAGAAGGAAGUGACGGUACCUGCAGAAGAAGCGACGGCUAAAUACGUG
RNAcentral lists this ribosomal RNA (463 nucleotides) under uncultured bacterium. Its description in RNAcentral is "partial 16S ribosomal RNA". It matches the Rfam family "Bacterial small subunit ribosomal RNA", at positions 28 to 507 of the family's 1533-position model. The record is from RNAcentral.